This 781-nucleotide ribosomal RNA is filed under the name Flexibacteraceae bacterium MJ116. RNAcentral's name for it is "bacterial SSU rRNA". It matches the Rfam family "Bacterial small subunit ribosomal RNA", at positions 61 to 853 of the family's 1533-position model. The record is from RNAcentral. Lineage: Bacteria; Pseudomonadati; Bacteroidota; Cytophagia; Cytophagales; Cytophagaceae.
GUCGAACGGGGUCCUUCGGGGCCCAGUGGCGCACGGGUGCGUAACGCGUAUGCAACCUACCUUCAACUGGGGGAUAGCCCGGAGAAAUCCGGAUUAAUACCGCAUACGACCACGGGAGGACAUCCGAAGGUGGUGAAAGAUUUAUCGGUUGGAGAUGGGCAUGCGUGCCAUUAGCUAGUUGGUGGUGUAACGGACCACCAAGGCGACGAUGGCUAGGGGUUCUGAGAGGACGGUCCCCCACACUGGCACUGAGAUACGGGCCAGACUCCUACGGGAGGCAGCAGUAGGGAAUAUUGGGCAAUGGGCGGAAGCCUGACCCAGCCAUGCCGCGUGCAGGAUGAAGGCCUUCUGGGUUGUAAACUGCUUUUAUCAGGGAAGAAAACACCCAUGCGUGGGGAACUGACGGUACCUGAGGAAUAAGCACCGGCUAACUCCGUGCCAGCAGCCGCGGUAAUACGGAGGGUGCAAGCGUUGUCCGGAUUUAUUGGGUUUAAAGGGUGCGUAGGCGGCCCCUUAAGUCAGCGGUGAAAGCCCGGGGCUCAACCCCGGAACCGCCGUUGAUACUGGGGGGCUUGAGUACAGACGAGGUUGGCGGAAUUGAGGGUGUAGCGGUGAAAUGCUUAGAUACCCUCAAGAACACCGAUUGCGUAGGCAGCUAACUAGGCUGUAACUGACGCUGAGGCACGAAAGCGUGGGGAGCGAACAGGAUUAGAUACCCUGGUAGUCCACGCCGUAAACGAUGAUUACUCGAUGUCGGCGACAGACCGUCGGCGUCUUAGCG